Molecule: long non-coding RNA, 3518 nt
Organism: Syngnathus typhle (broad-nosed pipefish)
Lineage: Eukaryota; Metazoa; Chordata; Actinopteri; Syngnathiformes; Syngnathidae
Exons: 2
Source: RefSeq, a predicted model, not a curated record
UUCAUUGGGCCAUAUGAGAUCCUGGCAGUAAUUAGUCUGUCUCCGUCUUCAUCCGAGCCUCCGAGUCCAUCCCAGCUUCCACGUCUCUCAGAUAAAGCCAGUCGAGUCCAAGGUGCAUCUUCCCCCGGUCGUGCCCGCGCCUCCUGCCCGGUCGUGGGUGCCCCGUUCCUACAGCUGCGACCCUGCCCUCGUCUCGGACUACUGGUCGUCACUCCCUUAUUCCUACUUCUGGGCCGCCCGGGGGCAGCCGUUGAGGGUGGUGGUGGUGGUCGGGGGGGGUUCAGGGCCCGGCCGGGGUGGCAUGUUUCUUUAAUCCACAGGGAGCAACUGUGAGCAGAGUGCAGAGGGCCCAGGUGUGACUCAUCAGGCUCGUUAAGGAGUGCUCUUAAGGAGCAUGCUGUCGACUGCUCGUCGCCUGAGUGUCCCUACCAGUGUGAUCAUCUCCCUGGUUGUGCCUCUAGCUCCUCGAUCUUGCUCCUUGAUCUUGCUCCUUGAUCUUGCUCCUAGUUCUCGCCUUGCUCAUCCACGCCACGCUCUUCAGAUUCCUCUGAUUACUUCCAUCGAUCACCACCAAGAUCCACCCCGUUCUGGCUGAACUCCUCACGCCCCGCCACUGCUGCCCCGCUCCGUGCUCCUGGCUCCGAUCAUCCCGCUCUACCUCACCGCAGCUCCUCCAAUAAACACUCCUAACUCAUUCUCGACAUCUGAGUUGUUUUUUCUGCAUGUGGGUCAAAUCAGUCGUUACAACGAUGACAACGAUUGAUGUAAGCCACGCUACUUCCGAAGUUAGUGGCGAUGUUUAUAAGUGACACUGAGGAUGACGAUUCUGUUUGAUUUAAUGAUUUGGAGUGACACUGAUGGUUCGAUAAACUUGUUAGCAUGUUAUUUAUGCUAUAGUCAUAUCAAUACAAUUAAUAUGUUACAUCAGUCACGUUCUCAGUUCCUUGUUUAUGUAACGUUAGUAUACCGCACCGUUCAGACGGUUGUUGCCUAUUCUUAUUUCAGAUUGCCUGUCAAGAUGAUAUGUCUGUUCUUGGUGAUUUUAUCAAAUAAAUUUACCCCAAAAUUUAUAAAAUGAUACUCCGGUGCGACUUAUAUAUAUGUCUUUUUCUUCUUCAUUAUGCAUUCUAUGGCUGGUGCAAAUUGUACUCCGGAGCGACUUAUAGUCCGGAAAAUACGGUAAAAUAUUUACCAGGAUCUGACUUUGCAUUGUAGGCCAGAGUAGAAUCAAUCCGAAUCGGUUAUUGUGCUGUUAAAGAAAAUAAUGUACGACGGGCGUUAAAGCUGUUCUCUCUGCGGCAAAUGGCUUUCAUUUUUCGACAGCGACUGAGAGAAAAGAUAAGGGUGCAGUGGUUUCAUCAUUCUUAGUAAACAUUCAUAGGACAUUUGGUCUUAAAAGAGUUUUUUCUUCUCUAUUUAAAUACUGUCAUUCUGACAGCUUGUGUGGCUGACAGCUGUAGAGUGAAUGCAAAGUGCGCAUGCGUGAGAAGUCGCUUAAAGAAUGAGGAAGAAGGUCGGGAGCGGCCAGGAGGCGUGUCUGCACUGUGUUUGAAAGUCGCGUAACAAGCAAAGAAGAUAACGCAAAUUGAAACGAGGACUGCAGUGCAUGACUACUGUCUCCUUUUGGUGUGUUGUUGGCCCGCAGGGUUUCUCCUUCGACACGAUCCUGUAGGGAAUGCCGUUCUUGGAGAAAUGUCUCCUCUGCGCCUCCCAACUAAAGUUAGCGGCCGAGCAGAAAUGUAUGUACCUUUGUUCUCAAAUCGGGAUGCCCAAGGAAACGGAAUGCGCACCUGUUUGUCUAUGUUGAGGGGCACUAAGUUUGUCAGCCGCUGACGAGUCCUGGGCAAGGGAGGGGUGUACAAUGGAAUAUGGUACAAAAACAAAAAUAAACGUUUACUUUUAACAUCAAUAUGUAGUGAUCCCUCGUUUUUCACAGGAGAUACUUUCCAGAACUACACAUGAAAAACAAAAGUUCGCAACGUACAAACAUGUAUUAUUUAGAAAGUUAAACACUACUGUAUUGAAAUUUCCAAAACGUGGUGUGAUGUUUCUUGUUGGCCGCUAGAUGACAUGGAUGUAUUGCAAGUCAAUUAAAAGAGUGUUUUUUUCCUUGCCAAGCAAUACAAUGUGUCCAUCUUCAGAAUUACCAAUCUAUACUAACCCGGGGGACAUCAUGCACAGCGAAACCAAAGUGUGCCACGAUUAAGCAUGAAUCUCCUGUUGCAUUGUGGUCCAGUACACAAUAUUAAAGAUUUUUAAACCCUCCCAAAUACUUUAACGUGACAUAAACCUUUCUCAUUCCGUUAAUAACCAUUCCCACACUGUUCUGUGCAUGUACUUUACAGUAAAUAAAAGAACAGAUGCGCAAUAUUAACUCCUUCUGGUUGGUGCUUCUUCCCUCACGCGUGGCCAGCUGCCACCUCCUGCGCUUGAAUUCAGUCAAGUGGUAUCUAUGGCCUUUUUAAUCCAACGCUUUAGUUUGUUUGAUUCCGAUUUUCCCCAUGUCCCAGUCCAUGAUGUGAUUAUUUCUCCUGCAGUGAUCGGUAAUGGCUGAUUUGAGAUUUUCCUGUUUUGCUUUGUCUUUAGUGUCUGUGUAAAUUUCCCUGCUGUCUCCUUCUCGCAUUCUUUUUGAUGUUCCCUUUUUCUUAUGCUGAAUGACCUGCCUGUUUCCCUAAUGUAUGUUUUGUUGCAUGACUUGCAUGGUAUUUAACACUGUUGUGCAGCACCGCUUUGCUGGGCGGAGGGAUAUGUGACACGGUCACUGGGGAGAAGAGUAGUGUGUUGAUCGCAUGUCCAUUCGGCAGGCAAAUAAUGCCGAAUAAUUGACACAAAGAAGAGACAGAACAAGAUUAAGACGGACGUUACUGAAGAAAGGACGCUUUUAUACACAAACCCUCGUUUUGGGGGACAAAAGAAAUUAAUAUGAUGCCGCUUUUAAGUUAAAGCCAGUCGAUUUGGCUCUUAACAUGCACUGUAGAUGUUUCUUCCGGUCACUAGGGGGGGACUGGGCUAUUGUUGAGGACAUCUUGUUGCGUCACCCUUUUCUUUCUUUAUUUCCCAGUCACAUCUUCUCUGGAGCUAUACAUGUCGCUCGCUAGUUUAUGUAACUUAUCGAUUUGUGCAUGAAUAAAAUUAGCAUGAACAGACCUUCAUCAAGUAAAAUGCUAGAAGAAAUGCAUAAAAGCUACAACGAGAAAGAGACUGUGGCGAAGUAUAUCUGACGCUAUUCCAAUCCAACACUGAGGAGGAAGACUUUGAUGGUUUCAGUGCACAGGAGGAAGAUGAAGACAGCUCUCAGUGACUUUUACUGGUAUAUUUUUUUUUUUAACCAGCCCUGUUAGUGCUGUCCUACCGUGUUGCUGCUUUGUUACCACCGGGUCUCAGUGACUUUUACCGGUAUGUUUUUUUAUCCAGCCUUAUUAGUGCUGUGUUACUUCUGUGUUGCUGCGGUAUUACUGCCGCGUCACAGGCAGUGUUUGGAAAGAAAUGUUAAGGUGUUAUUAAAACUUUAAAAAUGC